AGAAAUUCGAGUCGAGGGGCUCUCUACACAGUAUUGUGGGCCCCGUUUUUCAGUCAUCCAGGGUUCAGUGGGCCGGAUGAGGAAGCAGUCGAAGAUUUGGCCCAUUUGAUUAGGUGUAGCGGGCCUGCCUGUACGGCCCAAUUAGAGAGCCUUCUCCCAUCCAUCGUCUUCUUCCUUCCUCGCACAGCUCGAUUACUUGCCCCUUGCCAGCUCCACCAAGGCACCAACUGGAUAUGCAGAGUGCUCCUCCGAAGGCACCUCCUCCCUCGCCUUCGCGCAGCCUCCCCGCUCCCUUCCCCAAUCCCCCGCCGUGCCUGCCCCCUACUCUCCACCUCUGCCUCCGCCGCCCCUUUCUCCCUCGAGGACUACCUCGUCGCCGCCUGCGGCCUCUCCCCAGCUCAAGCCCGGAAGACAGCCCAGAAGGCCGUCGAUGAAACAUCCAGAAAGGCUAAGAAAGCAUUCGAGGACAUCUACCGGUCCCGCCUCAGAUCCGCAUCCAACCCGGACGCCAUCCUCGCCCUUCUCUCCGGCGUCGGCCUCUCCCGCACAUACAUCGCUUCCAUAGUCGCCGCGGACCCGCUGCUCCUACGCUGCUCGGUGAAGACAAUCGGCCCCCGCCUCCUCUCUCUCCGGGACUGCCUCGGUCUGUCCGCUCCCCAGAUCGUUCGCUUACUCCUGGUCGGCUCCCCAGUCCCCAUGCGCUCUCCAGAGCAGCGACAUCGUUUCCAAGCUCCAAUUCUUGAUCUCAUUCUACGGCUCAUUUGAGUGGGUCCUGGUGGCAGCUAAGAGGAGUGGCGCCAUCCUGCACGCGAGCCUUGAGAGGGUGGUCGAGCAUAAGAUAGCCUUGCUUCGUCAGUUUGGUGUUCGAGAUAUUGCCACGCUGUGUUCAAACAACCCAAAGUUGCUUACGUUCAGCCUGGAGCGCGUGAAAGAGGUUUUGCUGCGGGCGGAAGAACUUGGGGUGCCUCGCAAUUCACGGAUGUUCAAGUACGUGGUGGCUGCGGUCGCUUGUAAUUCCAGGGAGAAGGUUGCUGCCAAGAUUGAGUUCUUUAAGAGGACUCUUGGUUGUUCUGAGUCCGUGGUUUCCAUUGCAGUGUGCAGACAGCCAAGUAUUUUAGGAGUCUCUGACGAGAAACUUAUUCGCAAGAUUGAGUUCCUGGUCAAUGAGGUUGGGAUGGAGCCACGGUACAUUCUGGAAAGGCCUCUUCUGCUUGCAUUAAGCCUGGAAAAGCGUGUGCUCCCACGGCAUAGGGUUCUGAAGGUUCUGCAGGCAAAGAGAUUGUUGAAUAGAAAGAUGAACCUUACUUCAUUCUUUACGUUUGGAGAGAAGGCUUUCAGAUUGAGGUUCAUUGACCCUCACGAGGACUAUGUUCCUGAUCUCGCAGGUUAUUAUGCCACGGCUUGUGCUGGUGAUGUGCCCCCUUAAGUCCAACUGUUACCCUGAAAUAUUUAAUUUUGAUGUCAUUGAGGUGGAUUGUGGAAUUGCAACUCAUGAUCAGUAGCAACUGUCCAUGGUACAGUGCAGACUUUCGAAUUUUUUGUUUCAGCAAUAUAACUACUUCUGAUCUUUGACUAGUCAUUGUUGAAGUUUUAGUUCUGGUUC
Molecule: RNA transcript, 1603 nt
Organism: Panicum virgatum (switchgrass)
Lineage: Eukaryota; Viridiplantae; Streptophyta; Magnoliopsida; Poales; Poaceae
Gene name: transcription termination factor MTERF9, chloroplastic-like
Exons: 1
Source: RefSeq, a predicted model, not a curated record